This 2923-nucleotide ribosomal RNA is filed under the name Escherichia coli. Its description in RNAcentral is "bacterial LSU rRNA". It matches the Rfam family "Bacterial large subunit ribosomal RNA". Lineage: Bacteria; Pseudomonadati; Pseudomonadota; Gammaproteobacteria; Enterobacterales; Enterobacteriaceae. The record is from RNAcentral.
GGGUUGUGAGGUUAAGCGACUAAGCGUACACGGUGGAUGCCCUGGCAGUCAGAGGCGAUGAAGGACGUGCUAAUCUGCGAUAAGCGUCGGUAAGGUGAUAUGAACCGUUAUAACCGGCGAUUUCCGAAUGGGGAAACCCAGUGUGUUUCGACACACUAUCAUUAACUGAAUCCAUAGGUUAAUGAGGCGAACCGGGGGAACUGAAACAUCUAAGUACCCCGAGGAAAAGAAAUCAACCGAGAUUCCCCCAGUAGCGGCGAGCGAACGGGGAGCAGCCCAGAGCCUGAAUCAGUAUGUGUGUUAGUGGAAGCGUCUGGAAAGGCGCGCGAUACAGGGUGACAGCCCCGUACACAAAAAUGCACAUGCUGUGAGCUCGAUGAGUAGGGCGGGACACGUGGUAUCCUGUCUGAAUAUGGGGGGACCAUCCUCCAAGGCUAAAUACUCCUGACUGACCGAUAGUGAACCAGUACCGUGAGGGAAAGGCGAAAAGAACCCCGGCGAGGGGAGUGAAAAAGAACCUGAAACCGUGUACGUACAAGCAGUGGGAGCACGCUUAGGCGUGUGACUGCGUACCUUUUGUAUAAUGGGUCAGCGACUUAUAUUCUGUAGCAAGGUUAACCGAAUAGGGGAGCCGAAGGGAAACCGAGUCUUAACUGGGCGUUAAGUUGCAGGGUAUAGACCCGAAACCCGGUGAUCUAGCCAUGGGCAGGUUGAAGGUUGGGUAACACUAACUGGAGGACCGAACCGACUAAUGUUGAAAAAUUAGCGGAUGACUUGUGGCUGGGGGUGAAAGGCCAAUCAAACCGGGAGAUAGCUGGUUCUCCCCGAAAGCUAUUUAGGUAGCGCCUCGUGAAUUCAUCUCCGGGGGUAGAGCACUGUUUCGGCAAGGGGGUCAUCCCGACUUACCAACCCGAUGCAAACUGCGAAUACCGGAGAAUGUUAUCACGGGAGACACACGGCGGGUGCUAACGUCCGUCGUGAAGAGGGAAACAACCCAGACCGCCAGCUAAGGUCCCAAAGUCAUGGUUAAGUGGGAAACGAUGUGGGAAGGCCCAGACAGCCAGGAUGUUGGCUUAGAAGCAGCCAUCAUUUAAAGAAAGCGUAAUAGCUCACUGGUCGAGUCGGCCUGCGCGGAAGAUGUAACGGGGCUAAACCAUGCACCGAAGCUGCGGCAGCGACACUAUGUGUUGUUGGGUAGGGGAGCGUUCUGUAAGCCUGUGAAGGUGUACUGUGAGGUAUGCUGGAGGUAUCAGAAGUGCGAAUGCUGACAUAAGUAACGAUAAAGCGGGUGAAAAGCCCGCUCGCCGGAAGACCAAGGGUUCCUGUCCAACGUUAAUCGGGGCAGGGUGAGUCGACCCCUAAGGCGAGGCCGAAAGGCGUAGUCGAUGGGAAACAGGUUAAUAUUCCUGUACUUGGUGUUACUGCGAAGGGGGACGGAGAAGGCUAUGUUGGCCGGGCGACGGUUGUCCCGGUUUAAGCGUGUAGGCUGGUUUUCCAGGCAAAUCCGGAAAAUCAAGGCUGAGGCGUGAUGACGAGGCACUACGGUGCUGAAGCAACAAAUGCCCUGCUUCCAGGAAAAGCCUCUAAGCAUCAGGUAACAUCAAAUCGUACCCCAAACCGACACAGGUGGUCAGGUAGAGAAUACCAAGGCGCUUGAGAGAACUCGGGUGAAGGAACUAGGCAAAAUGGUGCCGUAACUUCGGGAGAAGGCACGCUGAUAUGUAGGUGAAGUCCCUCGCGGAUGGAGCUGAAAUCAGUCGAAGAUACCAGCUGGCUGCAACUGUUUAUUAAAAACACAGCACUGUGCAAACACGAAAGUGGACGUAUACGGUGUGACGCCUGCCCGGUGCCGGAAGGUUAAUUGAUGGGGUCAGCGCAAGCGAAGCUCUUGAUCGAAGCCCCGGUAAACGGCGGCCGUAACUAUAACGGUCCUAAGGUAGCGAAAUUCCUUGUCGGGUAAGUUCCGACCUGCACGAAUGGCGUAAUGAUGGCCAGGCUGUCUCCACCCGAGACUCAGUGAAAUUGAACUCGCUGUGAAGAUGCAGUGUACCCGCGGCAAGACGGAAAGACCCCGUGAACCUUUACUAUAGCUUGACACUGAACAUUGAGCCUUGAUGUGUAGGAUAGGUGGGAGGCUUUGAAGUGUGGACGCCAGUCUGCAUGGAGCCGACCUUGAAAUACCACCCUUUAAUGUUUGAUGUUCUAACGUUGACCCGUGAUCCGGGUUGCGGACAGUGUCUGGUGGGUAGUUUGACUGGGGCGGUCUCCUCCUAAAGAGUAACGGAGGAGCACGAAGGUUGGCUAAUCCUGGUCGGACAUCAGGAGGUUAGUGCAAUGGCAUAAGCCAGCUUGACUGCGAGCGUGACGGCGCGAGCAGGUGCGAAAGCAGGUCAUAGUGAUCCGGUGGUUCUGAAUGGAAGGGCCAUCGCUCAACGGAUAAAAGGUACUCCGGGGAUAACAGGCUGAUACCGCCCAAGAGUUCAUAUCGACGGCGGUGUUUGGCACCUCGAUGUCGGCUCAUCACAUCCUGGGGCUGAAGUAGGUCCCAAGGGUAUGGCUGUUCGCCAUUUAAAGUGGUACGCGAGCUGGGUUUAGAACGUCGUGAGACAGUUCGGUCCCUAUCUGCCGUGGGCGCUGGAGAACUGAGGGGGGCUGCUCCUAGUACGAGAGGACCGGAGUGGACGCAUCACUGGUGUUCGGGUUGUCAUGCCAAUGGCACUGCCCGGUAGCUAAAUGCGGAAGAGAUAAGUGCUGAAAGCAUCUAAGCACGAAACUUGCCCCGAGAUGAGUUCUCCCUGACCCUUUAAGGGUCCUGAAGGAACGUUGAAGACGACGACGUUGAUAGGCCGGGUGUGUAAGCGCAGCGAUGCGUUGAGCUAACCGGUACUAAUGAACCGUGAGGCUUAACCUUACAACGCCGAAG